UUUUUGGGGGGGGGGUCUGGGGGCUAAGGCUUGAGAGGUCUGCAAAAUCCACAGAGAGAAAAGAAAAACAGGGAGAGAGCAGGAUGAUGGAGAGAGAACAGGAUGAUGGCGCGAGAACAAAACGACUGUCCUGAUUGAUUUAAGCCUGGCUGUGUGUUGAUCUUUACCGCUGGCUGAGAUGGAAGUGUGGAAAAAUAAGCUACGAUGGGGAAGAAAGUGGGGGAAAGGAGAACUGUACUAACUUUAUUUGUUUUGUCCCGGCCCCCUUUUUCCUCCCUGCUCCCUCUGUCCCUGAGAAGAAAUUAAAGUGCGUGUAACAUAAACCUGCAUCGGUCAUGCUGUAAAUUCCUUUCAGAAAUACAACGCUCCAAAUCAAACAUCACCCCAAGGCCACGUCUGGAACUCUACCAACCCCUCUACGUUAGCCGCUACCGUUUGCCCGAUCUGCCCAGUUUCCAGACCCCUCACCAGGGUAAAGGCGGGUACUGGUCCAGUCCUCAGCGGUACCGCCCGAGUGGCAGCACAUGGCAGAACCUACGACGGCACGUCCUCGUAGUGCCGGGCAACACGGGCUUCUCCGACAUCACGUCC
Long non-coding RNA from Ictalurus punctatus (channel catfish), 591 nucleotides. The record is from Ensembl. NCBI's taxonomy places the organism in Eukaryota, Metazoa, Chordata, Actinopteri, Siluriformes, Ictaluridae.